AUUGAACGCUGGCGGCAUGCCUUACACAUGCAAGUCGAACGGCAGCACGGGAGCAAUCCUGGUGGCGAGUGGCGAACGGGUGAGUAACAUAUCGGAACGUGCCCGGUAGUGGGGGAUAACCCGGCGAAAGUCGGACUAAUACCGCAUACGACCUACGGGUGAAAGCGGGGGAUCGCAAGACCUCGCGCUAUUGGAGCGGCCGAUAUCAGAUUAGCUAGUUGGUGGGGUAAAGGCCUACCAAGGCGACGAUCUGUAGCUGGUCUGAGAGGACGACCAGCCACACUGGGACUGAGACACGGCCCAGACUCCUACGGGAGGCAGCAGUGGGGAAUUUUUGGACAAUGGGCGCAAGCCUGAUCCAGCCAUGCCGCGUGC
Molecule: ribosomal RNA, 375 nt
Filed under: uncultured bacterium
Lineage: Bacteria
Description: bacterial SSU rRNA
Rfam family: Bacterial small subunit ribosomal RNA
Source: RNAcentral